RNAcentral lists this ribosomal RNA (460 nucleotides) under uncultured bacterium. RNAcentral's name for it is "partial 16S ribosomal RNA". It matches the Rfam family "Bacterial small subunit ribosomal RNA", at positions 338 to 795 of the family's 1533-position model. The record is from RNAcentral.
CCUACGGGAGGCAGCAGUGAGGAAUAUUGGUCAAUGGACGAAAGUCUGAACCAGCCAAGUAGCGUGAAGGAUGACUGCCCUAUGGGUUGUAAACUUCUUUUAUACGGGAAUAAACCGAGGCACGUGUGCCGUUUUGCAUGUACUUUAUGAAUAAGGAUCGGCUAACUCCGUGCCAGCAGCCGCGGUAAUACGGAGGAUCCGAGCGUUAUCCGGAUUUAUUGGGUUUAAAGGGAGCGUAGAUGGGUUGUUAAGUCAGUUGUGAAAGUUUGUGGCUCAACCGUAGAAUUGCAACUGAAACUGGCAGUCUUGAGUACAGGUGAGGUAGGCGGAAUUCGUGGUGUAGCGGUGAAAUGCUUAGAUAUCACGAAGAACCCCGAUUGCGAAGGCAGCUUACUAAACUGUGACUGACGUUGAUGCUCGAAAGCGUGGGUAGCAAACAGGAUUAGAUACCCUUGUAGUC